Molecule: long non-coding RNA, 562 nt
Filed under: Panicum hallii
Lineage: Eukaryota; Viridiplantae; Streptophyta; Magnoliopsida; Poales; Poaceae
Description: long non-coding RNA (PHAL_LNC000924)
Source: RNAcentral
GGGGCAGGUGGCAGCCAGCAGUCAGGGCGACAAGCUGCAGCGCAGGUUAGCGGCGGAGCCACCAAUAUGGCAAGGUACGGCGAUCGUAAAACCUGCCCGGCCGGUGACUCACAAGCUAAUUUCUAGUAUAUUUAUAUAUGUAUUUGAUGAUUAUAUCUAUGUUAUUUGAUAAUUAUAAUAUAUUAUAAUUUUUUAUAGUAUGCAUGUGUUUUAAUAUAAAUCAGUAGCAGGCUCGCUAUAGGUUGAUUUUGGUCCUCGCUCCGCCGGUGGCGCACGGGGCAGCUGCGCAGGCGCAGCGGACGACGGAGGCAGCGGAAUGCGUGAUCGCCGGCGAGGUAAGGCUGUCUCCAGCAGCGUUCUGUAAAGCGUUCUGUACUCUAUAUAUAGAGGAAGAUUCCGUUCUCUAUUGCUCCAGCAGCGUUAUCUAAAUGGUCCUCUAAAUUAGAGAACGCUACAGGUUUCCUAUAUAUAGAGAUUCUCUCUCCUCUUCUCUAUUUUUUCUUUACGUUUCAAACACUGAAUUAAAUAAAAAUAAAAUAUGUCUAUAGCGUUUGAGGUAUGA